CUUGUUGUUGUGGAACUGUUUCACAUACACAGACAACACUUUAUCAUCACCAUGGGUACUUCCCCGCUGAUGAUAACGCUAGAAAACCCGGUAAAAGACGUGUGUCAACUCUGUGACAAGCCUUUUGAUGAUAAAAGAAACAAACAUAAUUUGAUAAUCAGCAUCCAGAAGCCGAAGCCUUCCUACACUUUGGCUCUGGAGGAGCUAACCGGGCUCCUUAUCACCAGGGAAGACUUGCUAGCGGUGUGUAGCUCCUGCAGAACUUUACUAAACCGAUAUCACAGAAGCUCGUGAGAAGCUGAGCGGAUCGCUGCAGUGGUUCAAUCCAUGUCAGUGAUUCGCACUGCUUCCAGAAAUAGGCGUCAAAUUAACUCCGACCGAAGACUGUUGUACCCGAAAAUGGAUCAACAACAAGCACCAAAGUCCUCCGAAACAGAAUCUGGGAUCCUCUGAGGUUCUUGAAGACAUUGUACCUCUCUCAUCGUCAAGAAACUAAAAGAAAAACGCAGUUAUCUUCUAUCUUCAAUCUGCAGAAUCCCUCUCAGUCUUUAAGAAAGGACUAUAAACCCAGUUCUUCACUGAACGCCUUUGCGCUUGACAGACUGCGAAAAAGAAAAACUAAAAAAAAUCCUAUUACCUGCUCCAAAGCCUGUAGGUACCAAGGUCCUAUUAUCACACUUGAACUUAUUUUAUGGCACUUAUCCUGGUUGUUUUCUCCUGACUAGAUCCUUGCUUGUGUUGUAUCUAC
Long non-coding RNA from Amphiprion ocellaris (clown anemonefish), 748 nucleotides. The record is from Ensembl. NCBI's taxonomy places the organism in Eukaryota, Metazoa, Chordata, Actinopteri, Pomacentridae.